CCUACGGGAGGCAGCAGUAGGGAAUCUUUCACAAUGGGCGAAAGCCUGAUGGAGCAACGCCGCGUGCAGGAUGAAGGCCUUCGGGUUGUAAACUGCUUUUAUAAGCGAGAAAUAUGAUGGUAACUUAUGAAUAUGGAUCUGCUAACUACGUGCCAGCAGCCGCGGUCAUACGUAGGAUCCGAGCAUUUUCCGGAGUGACUGGGUGUAAAGAGUUGCGUAGGUUGGAUAAUAAGUAGCUAGUGAAAUCUGGUGGCUCAACCAUUCAGACUAUUCGCUAAACUGGUAAGCUCGAGACCGUUAGGGGUAACUGGAAUGUGUAGUGUAGGAGUGAAAUCCGUAGAUAUUAGAAGGAACACCAAUAGCGUAGGCAGGUUGCUGGGACGGUUCUGACACUAAGGCACGAAAGCGUAGGGAGCAAACGGGAUUAGAUACCCCUGUAGUC
This 442-nucleotide ribosomal RNA is filed under the name uncultured bacterium. Its description in RNAcentral is "partial 16S ribosomal RNA". It matches the Rfam family "Bacterial small subunit ribosomal RNA", at positions 338 to 795 of the family's 1533-position model. The record is from RNAcentral.